Molecule: long non-coding RNA, 229 nt
Filed under: Capsicum annuum
Lineage: Eukaryota; Viridiplantae; Streptophyta; Magnoliopsida; Solanales; Solanaceae
Description: long non-coding RNA (CANN_LNC015582)
Source: RNAcentral
AAAAGGUGAGAGAGUUGCAAAGAGAGCAGAGAAGAAAAGAAAAUGUGCAACUAUGACACCAAAAGAACUCAAAGAUUACCAGAUGCAAAAAGCAAUAAAAAAGUCAAAGAAAUCAAAGUAGAAGAGGAAGAAGACAAUACAGGAUAAAGCUGUAGGUGUUUCUACAAGCUCUGCCCUAGUCAAGGGGGAAAUUUCAAACAUUGUUAGACAGGUGAUAUCUCUAAUUUUG